This 675-nucleotide ribosomal RNA is filed under the name uncultured bacterium. RNAcentral's name for it is "bacterial SSU rRNA". It matches the Rfam family "Bacterial small subunit ribosomal RNA", at positions 61 to 715 of the family's 1533-position model. The record is from RNAcentral.
GUCGAACGCGAAAGCCCCGCAAGGGGUAAGUAGAGUGGCAAACGGGUGAGUAACACGUGGGUGACCUGCCUUAGAGUGGGGGAUAACGUCCCGAAAGGGACGCUAAUACCGCAUAACAUCCUGCCUUUGAAGAGGUGGAGAUCAAAGCCGGGGACCGCAAGGCCUGGCGCUUAAAGAGGGGCCCGCGCCUGAUUAGCUAGUUGGUGGGGUAAUGGCUCACCAAGGCAACGAUCAGUAUCCGGCCUGAGAGGGCGGACGGACACACUGGGACUGAGACACGGCCCAGACUCCUACGGGAGGCAGCAGUGGGGAAUUGUUCGCAAUGGGCGCAAGCCUGACGACGCAACGCCGCGUGGAGGAUGAAGACCUUCGGGUCGUAAACUCCUUUCGAUCGAGACGAACAGCCAUCGGGUGAAUAGCCUGGAGGUUUGACGGUACCGAGAGAAGAAGCCCCGGCUAACUCCGUGCCAGCAGCCGCGGUAAUACGGGGGGGGCAAGCGUUGUUCGGAAUUACUGGGCGUAAAGGGCUCGUAGGUGGCCAACUAAGUCAGACGUGAAAUCCCUCGGCUUAACCGGGGAACUGCGUCUGAUACUGGAUGGCUUGAGUUCGGGAGAGGGAUGCGGAAUUCCAGGUGUAGCGGUGAAAUGCGUAGAUAUCUGGAGGAACACCGGUGG